UUUAGAUGUAAUAAAUACGCGUUGCACUAAGCGCGAUAAGAAUUUGCGGUAGUUUUUUCCGACUCGAUCCGCUGGGAAUUACGCGUUUUUUUUUCUUUUUCCGAUGUACCCACGUCGCUUUUUUGUUCUCGAAACUCCGGACAGGAGAAUUUCGCGCCAUUAAAUCGAAAAUGGAAGAGGAACCAACAUCGGAAACGGUCGUGAUGACGGACAUCACCGAACCCCUUACGAACGAAUCCGAGGAACAUGGGGGUCUCGCUUCGGAGACGCAUUCUUCUGUUAACCCUGUCGCGGUACCGGUCGCCUCGGUGCCUGUUUCCCUGCCUGUUGGGUCCCUAAUCGGCGUCACCUCGAGCGGUACCACCUUCAAUGUCAUUACUCCAGAGCAGCUGCAGCUGCAGGGCUCGACGCAGUUCAAGCCCGUCCUGUGCGUGGACAACAGCUUCAUAUGCGAGUCGCGUCAGGACAAAGACAACGACCCCCUGCGCACAUGGGUGAGGGCGCAGGGUUCCCCGACGGUUAAUGACCGGCAAGCCCCGAUCCAGCACUAUGUGUUGGGAGGACCAGUCAACGGGGACCUCAAGGGCGCGCACAUCGUGAUCCAGAGCGAGGACGGGGCCCAGUCCUCCCAGGGGGCCUCCCCCGGGGUCCGCGAGCAGAACCACGGGUCGUGGACAGAGUUCGCCAACCUGGCAGUCCUGCCCGUCAGGUGCAAGAACACGAACGCGGAGCUCCACAAGUGCCGUUUCGGCUCGGGCGGCCGGGGGCGCUGCAUCAAGCUGGUGGACCACUGGUACACGCCCAGCGAGUUCGAGGCCCUGUGCGGCCGCGCCUCCAGCAAGGACUGGAAGAGGAGCAUCAGGUUCGGGGGCCGCAGCCUCCAGACGCUGAUCGACGAGGGCAUCCUCACCCCGCACGCCACCAGCUGCACCUGCGCCGCCUGCUGCGACGACGAGAGUGCCACUGGUCCAGUUCGUUUGUUCACCCCGUACAAGCGGCGGAAGAGGAAAGAAACUUCUGCUUCGGACGGCGAAGGAACGUCGAAUUCGAAAACCAGGUGUCUGGCGUCCAAAGAAGAGAGUUGUGGGGACGCGGAGGACAGCGAGGGCAACAGCAUGGGGGAGGAGCAGUGGCAGAACGGGGAGAACUCGUGCGGGCAGGCGCGCCUCACGGAGGAGGGGAUGGUGGUGGAGUGCUCGCCGCCCGCCCACGCCCCGGAGACCGUCCAGGUGGAGACUCUCCCACGAGGCCCCAGCGACUGCGCCCGCGCCUUCAAGAAGCUCGACGAGAUGGCGGCCAAGAUGUGCAAGCUGGCGUACCAGUUCCGGCGCUGCAUCGAGGAGGCCCGGGAGCGGUGCCAACACGACAAGGAGCAGACGCUGCUGUCGGGGCACGUGGAGGAGGUCGCCUGCACCAGGACUGUCUACGGAGAUGGUCUCCCAGUCCAUGUUGUGGACCCAAUUGACUCCGUUGGACUGCAGCCUGCCUCUGAUGGCUCAGAGACCAAAAAGUGCGCCAACUGCAACCGGGACGCGUUCGCGGAGUGCUCGCUGUGCCGCCGCAUCCCCUACUGCUCCACCUUCUGCCAGCGCAAGGACUGGGAGGGCCACCAGGUGGAGUGCGUGCGGUCGGCCGCCGACGCCUCCGCCAUCACCGCCUCGUCGGGCCAGAUGCUGCUCAUCGUGGAGAGCUCGGAGCAGGUGCUCCCACACGAGGGCUGAUGCCGCCGCCCCCUUUGCGGUCCACCCCCCUUCUCGUCGCGAGGGACCCGCGGAGAAGGCUUCCCGCGGCGUGACUUAGCACCACGCCAUCGCUGCCGCCUGCUGGCCGGCCGUGCUACUCUGCGAGUAGCACCACCAGCCGUGCUACUCCGAGGAGCGCCGAAGACCGUGCUACUCCGAGUAGCGCCGCCGGCCGGAACGAGCGCUGCUACUCCCGGUCGUCACGUGACCUCCGCAGCUGGAGCGGAGUCUGCUCUGGAGAAACAAGAAUACCCUGAGAGUCCGCUGGCUGUUGAAUUCCCACGAGAAAUACUAAUGAAACAUCGACCAAUAAGAGCGGCCUUUGCAUCGGAACGGCCAACCAUCAGCCAACUGUGUCAAGCCCGUGUUCCAGAAAAUGCAGUGUUCAGUGAAGAGAAUAUAAUGUUUUUAUGUGCAACUGACUGGUCCCAAGCAAGUUAUGAGCUGUUCUUCGGUUGGUAGGACGACUAGUUGUUGAGUACUACUAGGGGCAAGAUUAUAUGGUGAAUAGUGAUAAAAAACAAAAUGCAAUGAAAUUAAAACAAUACGUACUUGAUACCACACAAAUGAGGCUAAAUGCUUACAGAGGAAAAAAAAAGGAACUUUCAUCAUUGCAUGUGGGUUUUUUAUUCAUACUACAUACCUAUUAGUAUUGUAAUUAAAAUCUGAUAAAAUGUAAAAUUUAAAUUGGACAUUAUCCAUUGUUAAUAUGUGGGUUUUUAGCCCCUGUAACAAAGUUAACUUCUUUUUUUUUCUCCCAUAAAUGAAAUGUUAUAUGUAAUUUUAUAUAUUAAUGCACAAUACUAGUGACAUGUGUAAAACAUUCAAAAAAAUCAAAAUGACAGAGACAUAAUUAUAAAUAUGAAGCCAUUAUAUCUUGCCCCUCUAGUACUAAUGAAACAAAAGAAUGUACCUGUGGAUAUGUGAAGUUUGUCCUUAUGUAUGCUGCUAAGUAGCAAUGUCCAAGCCUAUAACGGACUUAAAUGUUGCAUGUGACAAGCUGAAACAUGUCAACUUCAUUAUUUCAUGUUAUUGUCAUUCUUGUUGAUUAAUUGGGAUCUUUUGCAUUUAUUGUGCUACAAAUUUUCUAACCAGAUACUCUGAUAAAAAAUUUUUUUCAAGCUGUAAAAUGUCAUGCUAUUGAACCCUGUUACAAAUCUUUCCAAGGGGGCACAAGGAAAAAAAUAUAUAUAUAAGUAGGAAAUAAGUACGUACAUCUGAUAAAACACUGGAAUAGCACUGAACUCUUUUUUUUCCCCAAGCAAGGGUGCCAACACACGUAACUGAGAAUUUUUUUUACUUUUGAUUUAUUGAAUACGCCAUGUUUGCCAGCACUUAUUUGUAGCUCUAGUAUUCUGGGAAGCCUACGAUUCACGCCGAGUAUUUGACAUGCCCGAAGAUUACCGAAUACCUGACUUCGGGCGACUUAGGAAUUCUUUUGUUUAGGUGAAAAAACAAAUUUUUUUUUAUUUUGCCUUGUGUUCAUGAAUGCCUAAUUAAUUAAAAUGGUCGAUUAGGUCAGGUCAGUUACAUUAUAAAUACUUCAAACUGAGAGGACAUUAAAAAUAAUAUGAAUUAUUUUUAAUGGAUGUUUAGUUUUAAAGUAUUUAUAAUGUAACUGACCUCACUAAACACACCGGGACAAAGGAUGAACAGUAGGAACGUAAUUUUUUUUCUUAUUACUUGCGCAACAAUAUCCAAACAAACAAAUCUUAAGUUAAUUACAUCGCAUUUUAAUUUGAUGACAUUGCAAGAAGAAUGUAAAAGAUAAGAAUGUUCUUAGAUUUACUCAAAUAUUAGUCUUGGUUUUAAUGGCUUAAUUUGUAUUAUUGUUAUGAAACUUCCUACCUUUAUUUGUUCAUGUCCGGCAUUUAAAACAUAAGUUUUUUUUCACCUAAACAAAAGAAUUCCGAAGACACCCGAAGGUUGUAAACAAAAAUGUGUGUAAACGUAUUAACAUGUUACACUUGCCUGUAGCAUAGUUAGAUUUUAAAACUUUUUUAUUUUUGAAUUUGUUGUAUACUGGAAAGUUAUCAAGCAGGCAAUGAACCAUUCGGCUGCAUAUGUGAAACGUAAUUUAUACAUUGUCCUCGUGGGGACUUCAAUAAUAUCAUAGAAGAAGGAAAAAUAAGCAGGAAUAUUGUAACAGGGUUCUACUGUAAUUAUCACAAAGCUGUAAAAAAUGAUGUAAGUGUAUACUGGUAAAGCAGUUUUGAAGGAUAUUAAGUUGGAACUCCUAACAAAUUUUUACUUCAGGCUCAAAACAUUCACAUGUUAAUUUUUUUUCUUAUGAAAAAAAAAUUUGUAAGUUUUGAGCUUGAAGUAAAUAUUUGUUAGGAGUGCCAACUAAAUGACCAUAGUAAUUUAUUAAUGUUACGAAAGGUUUGCAUCAUGCUUGAGAAAAUUGUAGUGUCAAUGACUGUAAAUAAUGUAAUUUGAAUUCUGCUGGUGCAAAUAAACUGUUAUAUAUGUUGAA
Molecule: RNA transcript, 4218 nt
Organism: Bacillus rossius redtenbacheri
Lineage: Eukaryota; Metazoa; Arthropoda; Insecta; Phasmatodea; Bacillidae
Gene: Deaf1
Gene name: deformed epidermal autoregulatory factor 1
Exons: 14
Source: RefSeq, a predicted model, not a curated record